UACCUUGCUAUGACUUUUGAGAUGUUACUCAGAUGGGUUAGUCGAAACUAAUUAUACUUUAAAAAGGCAGUUAUAUACCUAGUUAAAUUAAAAUAGGAUUCUAAUUUAAAGAAUAACUACACUAACUAUUCAAAUAAAUGAAUAAUCAAAUCACUUUUCUUUUCAUUUAUUAUUUUAACCUCUGAUUUUUCUUACCUUUUUAAGGUUAGUUUUUAAAGGUUAAGUAGAUUUAUUUAGUUUAUUUUAAAUUUAAAGUUAAAUAUAAAAAAUAUAAUACUCCUUACUACUAAGCCCAACCUUAAGUCGGCAAAAAGUAGUCAAUAAUUAAAUAAAUAGAAAGAGAAAAAUAAAUAAGAAACCAAUAUUUUUUUUAUUUAUAAUGUUUUACCUUUUUUUUAGAUAAAUUUCGCGGCGCUUUCCCCCAAGCUGAAUUUCUCCCCAGCGACAGACGG
This 452-nucleotide ribosomal RNA is filed under the name Hebeloma alboerumpens. Its description in RNAcentral is "partial small subunit ribosomal RNA". Lineage: Eukaryota; Fungi; Basidiomycota; Agaricomycetes; Agaricales; Hymenogastraceae. The record is from RNAcentral.